RNAcentral lists this ribosomal RNA (440 nucleotides) under uncultured bacterium. RNAcentral's name for it is "partial 16S ribosomal RNA". It matches the Rfam family "Bacterial small subunit ribosomal RNA", at positions 338 to 795 of the family's 1533-position model. The record is from RNAcentral.
CCUACGGGAGGCAGCAGUGGGGAAUAUUGCACAAUGGGGGAAACCCUGAUGCAGCGACGCCGCGUGAGUGAAGAAGUAAUUCGUUAUGUAAAGCUCUAUCAGCAGGGAAGAAAAUGACGGCACCUGAGUAAGAAGCCCCGGCUAACUACGGGCCAGCAGCCGCGGCAAUAAGGCGGGGGCAAACGUUAUCCGGAAUUAAUGGGGGUAAAGGGAGCGUAGACGGCAGUGCAAGUCUGGAGUGAAAGGCGGGGGGCUAACCCCCGGACUGCCCUUGAAACUGGAGGGCUGGAGUGCAGGAGAGGUAGGUGGAAUGCCUAGUGUAGCGGUGAAAUGCGUAGAUAUUAGGAGGAACACCGAUGGCGAAGGCAGCUUACUGGCCUGUAACUGACGUUGAGGCACGAAAGCGUGGGGAGCGAACAGGAUUAGAUACCCUGGUAGUC